RNAcentral lists this long non-coding RNA (1016 nucleotides) under Monodelphis domestica (gray short-tailed opossum). Its description in RNAcentral is "lncRNA (ENSMODG00000032315.2)". The record is from RNAcentral. Lineage: Eukaryota; Metazoa; Chordata; Mammalia; Didelphimorphia; Didelphidae.
AGGGUUUUAAAAUGGUCCAAUGAUGUGCCAAAUCUAAUAAAAAAAUCUAUAAAAAUAAGGAUCUAGCCCUACUGUUGUUAAACAAAAUCAGCUUCACAAUGAAAGCAUUGAGCCUUACUAGAGAGUAGUGUGUGUUUCAAAUGUUGUGAGGAUAUCAGGGACUCUAAGGACGCUCUUAAAAUGGGGCAGCUUGGUGGGAAUUCUCCUACAUUGGCCUUGGAGCUGGGAAGAUCUGCUUUCAAAUCUUGCCUCACUAGCUGUAUGAGCCUGAGCAGAUGACUUAAUCUCUGUGUGCUUCAGAAGGAGGUAAGGCUUGAUGACAUGUAAGGUCUCUUCAUACUCUAAAUCUAUGACAACCUUCUGAUCACCAUCCUCUGGCUGCCUUGGAGUCGUUUGCUGGCAGGAGGAGUGAGUAGACUGGCUCACAGCAUUCUGUUUCAGUUAGACCACAUGGGAACCACUCUGUCCAGUUCUAGGUUUCACAUUUUAUGUCAGUCCUUGAUAAAAUAGUUUCUGAGGUGCAUUCUUUCCCAAGAUUGGGGCAACGUGUCAUUGAAGGAAAAACUGUUCAGGCCUCACAUGGUAGAGGCGGGCGUACGGAAGGAUCAAGGUUUACAAAUGAUUCACAUCUAGUACCUCUGUUGAUCCUGAGAGCAAUCCCACAAUGUUCACCUUACAAAUAUUGCUAUCCCCACUUUAUAGAUGAAGAAAUUGAGCUUUAAAGAUUUGUUACGAAUUUCCAAAAGUAACAUGACUAGUAAGUAUCAAAUUGGAACUUGAAUUUAGGUCUCACUGUUAUGAAUUUAUGUUGCCUGUUAUUUCCUAUGCAUGUGUUCUCUGAAUAUUCCUUUGACUGCUUUCCCUUGGUUCCACUUAUAAACUUUGAAGUAGUAUGUUCAUACUAGGACCAAAAAGUUGUAUGGAGAUACUAGUGAUAAAACUUUUAUGUUCUAACACUGAGGAGAAGUCAGAUGUAAAGACAUAAUAUGAUGAAUAAAGAAAGUUUGGUGAGAACA